This 433-nucleotide ribosomal RNA is filed under the name uncultured bacterium. RNAcentral's name for it is "partial 16S ribosomal RNA". It matches the Rfam family "Bacterial small subunit ribosomal RNA", at positions 29 to 507 of the family's 1533-position model. The record is from RNAcentral.
AGCGAACGCUGGCGGCAGGCCUAACACAUGCAAGUCGAACGAACUCUUCGGAGUUAGUGGCGGACGGGUGAGUAACACGUGGGAACGUGCCUUUAGGUUCGGAAUAACUCAGGGAAACUUGUGCUAAUACCGAAUGUGCCCUUCGGGGGAAAGAUUUAUCGCCUUUAGAGCGGCCCGCGUCUGAUUAGCUAGUUGGUGAGGUAAAGGCUCACCAAGGCGACGAUCAGUAGCUGGUCUGAGAGGAUGAUCAGCCACAUUGGGACUGAGACACGGCCCAAACUCCUACGGGAGGCAGCAGUGGGGAAUCUUGCGCAAUGGGCGAAAGCCUAACGCAGCCAUGCCGCGUGAAUGAUGAAGGUCUUAGGAUUGUAAAAUUCUUUCACCGGGGACGAUAAUGACGGUACCCGGAGAAGAAGCCCCGGCUAACUUCGUG